UUAAAAAUAUGGCUGGGGAGUUUGUGCCAGACCCCAGAUGCCCUUUGUAUAAUGAGAUUUUAUUUUUGUUCCAGAUUCCAAUACAGGAUUCUCAAUAUGUUUGUUGAAGACAGUCCUGUUCAGCUUGGGUCUGAUCAUCAUGAUCUCUGCUGUCAUUGGAGUCCAUGUCAGGGAGAUCCUGAGGGACAGAGACUUCCUGGCUCACCUGGUGAACACUUGAGCUCUUCCAUUUCAAGACAGGACAAAUACCUGAGAGUCUUCUGCUCAACUCAAGUGGCAUUUUGUUAUUUUCUUGGAAAUUCUGUUCUUGCAGAAAUCUGGAAUCUUCUGUGUGUUCAGACCAUUUUCAGGGAUCAAGAGGAGAAUCAUAAUGAAAUGAUGAGAAUGUUUUAAAACUUUUUUUUUCUUUUCUCAGAUAAACUGUAGAAGUAAAGUUGAGAUUAAGAAUUAUUUGUGUGAAACACAAUAUCACUUUUUUUUAAAUUCUGUCUAAGACACAUUAGUCUGCUUUGGAGAGGGGAGACUGGACAGGAAUUGAGUAAAGAUGAAAAUCUUUUCAUGGCCAAAUGUUUCAUGCAAAAAGAAUCCUUAUGAUGCAGUCUUCAUAAUCCUAAUUUAACAAGUGUUAAUGAUUGUAAAUAAGAAAAGAGUCUGAAUUAAAGAUGAACUACUGGUGGUAUUACCAAGAAUACAGACCUAUAUUUUCUGUUAAUUGUUAUUCAUAGUAUUCUUUGUUAACUCUUUUGUAAACAAGAUGUAUUGUAGCUUCAUAGCUCAAUCUUCAAAGAUUUCCAGGAACUGGAUUUAUUUGACAACGUGGCAAUAUUGUUAUAGCUAUUGUAUUUUAAAAACAUAGCGUAAAAAUGUAUUCAUUUGGGUGAUCUCUUUAAAUGAAAUUUUGUUCUUUUCUUGGAAAUUCUGUUCUUGCAGAAAUCUGGAAUCUGGAAUCUGUGUUAAUACAAUUUUCAGGGAUGAAGAGGAGAAAGAGGAGUGGUGUGAUGAGAAUGUUUUAAAACUGUGUUUUAUUAUUUUCUCUUAGAUCAACUAGAGAAGUAAAGAGCAGAUGAAGAAAAACUUAUGGGAAGCACUAUAUAACUUUUCUAAGAAUUAUUUUUAAUUAGACACAUUAGUCUGCUUUAGAGAGGGAACACUGGACAGAAUUUGAGAAAACCCUUUUGUGGCCACAUGUUUCAUGUUAAAAAAAAGCCUUAUCCUGCCAUCUUCAUAAUCCUAUUCAAUCAGCUGUGAUUGAAUUAUUAUAUAAAUUCUAGCAAAUUGCAAUGCAUUUUCUCAAAGGCAACACUUUUUCAAACCUUUUGCAGUACUGUUUAACUGGCUCAUAUGUAUUGCAUAUGUAUUCUGAUACUGUCUUAGCCUUUCGACUCAAUGCAUUAAACCUCUCAAAGAUUAUAAACUAUUUUGAAUAAGGAGCCAUUAUUGCCUACAGUAUAUACUGCAUGCAUGGAAAUAGAAAUAAAGAGGCCAAAUACCUCUAAAAGUCCUUAACUUUCAUGUGUACUGUAAGAAGUUUAUUUUCCUUUAAACUUCCAUGCUGAACUUUCAAAUAUUUAGUACAUAAGACAAAAAUGAAUAUUUGUAAAUUUUAUGUCCACACAUAGUGACUUUAGUAGCAUGUCAUAUAGAAACUGGUCAAGCCAUUUUCCUUUGUGUUAUUUUCCUUAACUGUAUGCAAAAGUCGAACUACAUUAAUUUGAGCUGGUUAAUGUGUUUAGUCAUAAAAAGUAGUUCUCCCAUUAUCACAAAUGUUCUAUUACUGUUUUUAUUAAGCUUGUUUUAAAAAGGCCUUAGAUGAAAAACAUUAAACUACUUUUGAAGUACAACUACUUUUUAAACGAAUGUUCUGAAAAACUAUUUAAUCAAUUGUAUUGUCUAUUGUAACAUCUUUUUAUUGCAUUAAAAAGAAGUGUUAAAAAGCUUACUUCUUGCCACUCCAGUGUGUCAGGUGUCUAUCAGUGGCACCUCUUCAUUGGUGCUGAACGGCACUCUGGGGCAGUCAGUUACUCUGCCCUCAGGGUUUGAUGAGA
Lepisosteus oculatus (spotted gar) is the source of this 2045-nucleotide long non-coding RNA. The record is from Ensembl. NCBI's taxonomy places the organism in Eukaryota, Metazoa, Chordata, Actinopteri, Semionotiformes, Lepisosteidae.